UAAGUAAGCCAGACAGUCGCAUGUAUUGAUUCGAAAGAAGAUACCUGAGGAACGUCCGGGCUCCACAGAGCAAGGUGCUGGGUAACCCCCAGUGGAGGUAACUCUAAGGAAAGUGCAACAGAAAUAAACCACCUAUCAAUUUGAUGGGAAAGGGUGGAAAGGCGAGGUAAGAGCUCACCGUCCCUUAGGUGACUAAGGGAGCCAUGUAAACCCCACCUGGAGCAAGACCGUAUAAAGACAUAAAUAGUUGCUCGCUAGUCUUGGGUAGGUCGCUAGAGCCAAUAGGUAACUGUUGGCGUAGAUAGAUGACUGUCAAAUACAGAACCCGGCGUAUAGACUUGGUUAACAC
RNAcentral lists this RNase P RNA (349 nucleotides) under Cellulosilyticum sp. RNAcentral describes it as "RNase P RNA component class A". It matches the Rfam family "Bacterial RNase P class A". Rfam says of the family: Ribonuclease P (RNase P) is a ubiquitous endoribonuclease, found in archaea, bacteria and eukarya as well as chloroplasts and mitochondria. Its best characterised activity is the generation of mature 5'-ends of tRNAs by cleaving the 5'-leader elements of precursor-tRNAs. Cellular RNase Ps are ribonucleoproteins. The record is from RNAcentral. Lineage: Bacteria; Bacillati; Bacillota; Clostridia; Lachnospirales; Cellulosilyticaceae.